UUUUUAAUUUUUUUUUGCGCCGCGUGCAGAACAAAACGCACGUGCGCGACAUAUGUUUAGCACGUUUUAUUAUUUUGCACGUUUGCGGUAAGUUUUAGCUCGCUGCUCAUUAUUCACGCGUCUAGCGGCGGCAAGCGUGUUCUGAAAGGGGUCGAAACCAUGGAAAAUAGGCACCGGUGCGGUUGAACCGUGGUAAACUCGUCUCCGUAGUUGAGCGGGAGCGGCCAAAGGAAUGUGCAAUCGUGUGUGUAGUGGAGCUGGGAGGGGCAAGCAUAAGGGACGAAGACGGGGGUAACAUGUC
Molecule: unclassified non-coding RNA, 301 nt
Filed under: Thinopyrum intermedium
Lineage: Eukaryota; Viridiplantae; Streptophyta; Magnoliopsida; Poales; Poaceae
Description: non-transcribed spacer
Source: RNAcentral